UCCCUGGUGGCUCAGAUGGUAAAGCAUCUGCCUGCAAUGCAGGAGACCUGGGUUCGAUCCCCCAGUCGGGAA
Bos taurus (domestic cattle) is the source of this 72-nucleotide non-coding RNA. The record is from Rfam. NCBI's taxonomy places the organism in Eukaryota, Metazoa, Chordata, Mammalia, Artiodactyla, Bovidae.